GAUGAAGAACGUAGCGAAAUGCGAUACGUAAUGUGAAUUGCAAAUUCAGUGAAUCAUCGAGUCUUUGAACGCACAUUGCGCCCCCUGGUAUUCCGGAGGGCAUGCCUGUCCGAGCGUCAUUGCUGCCCUCAAGCACGGCUUGUGUGUUGGGCCCCGUCCUCCGAUCCCGGGGGACGGGCCCGAAAGGCAGCGGCGGCACCGCGUCCGGUCCUCGAGCGUAUGGCGCUUUGUCACCCGCUCUGUAGGCCCGGCCGGCGCUUGCCGAUCAACCCAAAUUUUUAUCCAGGUUGACCUCGGAUCAGGUAGGGAUACCCGCUGAACUUAAGCAUAUCAAUAAGCGGAGGA
RNAcentral lists this unclassified non-coding RNA (345 nucleotides) under soil metagenome. RNAcentral's name for it is "partial contains 5.8S ribosomal RNA, internal transcribed spacer 2, and large subunit ribosomal RNA". The stretch from base 1 to 119 matches the Rfam family "5.8S ribosomal RNA", at positions 35 to 154 of the family's 154-position model. The record is from RNAcentral.